This 574-nucleotide long non-coding RNA is filed under the name Homo sapiens (human). RNAcentral describes it as "HSALNT0203487". Lineage: Eukaryota; Metazoa; Chordata; Mammalia; Primates; Hominidae. The record is from RNAcentral.
AUGAUAGUGAUUAACUCUCAUGAAAUCUGAUGGGUUUAUCAGUAGUUUCUGCUUUUGCUUCUUCUCUCAUUUUUCUCUUGCUGCCACAAUGUAAGAAGUGCCCUUCUGGGAAGGGCAGUAGAGACUGCCCUGUGCUGUAGCUCAGUAACUAAGGUUUUGGCCUUUCACACUGGUGGUCUGAGUUUGAUUUCCUGCUUAGGAAGUUGUCUAAUAAAGAGAAAUGGCACCAGAUUGGAAGACAGAAGUCAGGCUGAGGCCUUGUUCCUGCUUAUGUUUUUUAUAGAAAACGAGAUCAUAAAGGGAUAGUGUCAUAAGCCAGUAUACUCUGGAAAUAAGAGGAAAAUAAAGAGAUAGAAUUUCUCUCUGACUUCAAGGGAGCUAUCAGGUUGUGUUCCCUUUCUAGCUGGUUGCAGUAGGGAAAGCCAAAGUAACUGCAAAAACCAGAUUCUGAAGAUGCCAUGAUAUCUGACUUCUUGAAUAUCCAGUUGAUGACAAAGAACUGCCCUGUCCUGCUAUCUUUUCCGCUCACUCUGAACUAUUAUUUAAAUAAGAAAUAAACUCCCUUAUGUUUGAG